UUGAUAUUAAAGUGACAGAAAAAAAAACGUUAUAGUAAAGCCGCGGCCGGAAAAUCAGGAAGCAACGUUACUACGCUAUAAUCGAUUAUCUUCCGUCACUGCAUCGAUACCGAAUCGUCCACGUCCGCAUCGCAAUGCAUCGUAGAAACGAUUAUUUUCAACACCCCUAACACACAUACUGU
Long non-coding RNA from Notothenia coriiceps (black rockcod), 182 nucleotides. RefSeq lists it as uncharacterized. NCBI's taxonomy places the organism in Eukaryota, Metazoa, Chordata, Actinopteri, Perciformes, Nototheniidae. The transcript is spliced from 3 exons. The record is from RefSeq and is a predicted model, not a curated record.